UACCGAGCAGUCGCCUCCUUUUUUCUCGUUCCUCCCCAACUCCCCCACGCGCAACCCUGCCACCGCUUCUUCUUCCUCGCCCAGCGCCGUCGCCCCGAUGCAGCCGCUCCAUCCUCCACCAGCAGCCCCGUCCCGCCGCUCCAUCCUCCACCAGCAGCCCCGUCCCGCCGCUGAUCUCGCCUACAGCGCCGCCAUACCAUCCUCAGUUUCAGCCGGCCGCAUGGACCGUCGCCGGGAGAAGGUCGCAGUGGCACCACCGGCUCCGCCUCUGUUCGCCGGGGCACCACCGGCUCCGCCGCUGUUCGCCGCUGCACCACCGGCUCCUCCUAUGUUCGCAGUCGCCAACAGCUCCUCCGGCCAGUCAGCACCUGGUCUUUGUCACUUCUCAUGCAUGAACUGCAUAAUAUGUACUCCCUCCGUUCCAAAAUAGAUGACACUUUUAUUGAGAACCAGAAAACGUCUAGGCUGGAGCGGCAGAAGGUUAUAGAUAGCCAACAUCAACUCUCAAGUCAGCAGCUUGAAACCGCUAAACUUGCCAAGGAGACAAAAUUGAUUGAGCUCUACCAGAAGUUAUUGUUUGCUGAUACAAGUGCCAUGGAUGACGACGCGAAAGUGGAGCGUGCCAAGGCAAUGGCAAGUCUGAGGUCUAUACUAUUUCCAGAAGAAAUGUGAGGUUUAUGCUAUUUCCUUAUUCAUGUUAACUCUGUAGUGUGACAAAACUCAUUGAUCGAAUCUAUUAGAUGAACUAUAUGCAUGUGGUGUAAGCAUGUCUCUACCUUGUGUUGGAUAUAUCAAGUGAGAUGUAAACCUAUGUUAUUUCUAUUUUCUCAAGGAAAGUAAGAUCUAUGCUA
This is a long non-coding RNA of Aegilops tauschii subsp. strangulata, 851 nucleotides long. RefSeq lists it as uncharacterized. NCBI's taxonomy places the organism in Eukaryota, Viridiplantae, Streptophyta, Magnoliopsida, Poales, Poaceae. The record is from RefSeq and is a predicted model, not a curated record.